RNAcentral lists this ribosomal RNA (207 nucleotides) under uncultured bacterium. RNAcentral describes it as "partial 16S ribosomal RNA". It matches the Rfam family "Bacterial small subunit ribosomal RNA", at positions 568 to 774 of the family's 1533-position model. The record is from RNAcentral.
CGCGUAGGCGGCUUUUCAAGUCAGGCGUGAAAGCCCCGGGCUUAACCUGGGAAUUGCGCUUGAGACUGGGGAGCUAGAGUAUGGGAGAGGAUGGUGGAAUUCCCAGUGUAGAGGUGAAAUUCGUAGAUAUUGGGAAGAACACCGGUGGCGAAGGCGGCCAUCUGGACCAUCACUGACGCUGAGGCGCGAAAGCGUGGGGAGCAAACA